Molecule: ribosomal RNA, 468 nt
Filed under: uncultured bacterium
Lineage: Bacteria
Description: partial 16S ribosomal RNA
Rfam family: Bacterial small subunit ribosomal RNA
Source: RNAcentral
GACGAACGCUGGCGGCGUGCUUAACACAUGCAAGUCGAACGGAAAGGCCCUGCUUUUGUGGGGUGCUCGAGUGGCGAACGGGUGAGUAACACGUGAGUAACCUGCCCUUGAUUUUGGGAUAACUUCAGGAAACUGGGGCUAAUAUCGGAUAGGAGCCCCUGUUGCAUGGUGGGGGUUGGAAAGUUUCGGCGGUUGGGGAUGGACUCGCGGCUUAUCAGCUUGUUGGUGGGGUAGUGGCUUACCAAGGCUUUGACGGGUAGCCGGCCUGUGAGGGUGACCGGCCACAUUAGGACUGAGAGACGGCCCAGACUCCAACAGGAGACAGCAGUGGGGAAUAUUGCACAGUGGGCGGGAGCCUGAUGCAGCAGCGCCGCGUGCGGGAUGACGGCCUUCGGGUUGUAAACCGCAUUCGCCUGUGACGAAGCGUGAGUGACGGUAAUGGGUAAAGAAGCACCGGCUAACUACGUG